UUAUAUAGUUCCUCUUGACUGGAAAGUUUCAAAGAUGAUCUAUUUACUGUGGAAGACCUCUGUGGAGGAAAAACAGAAAACAAAUGGAUUGCAGAACGGAAGUGCCUUGGCUGAUUAUACUAUUAGUCUUGAAGAUAAAAAUCACCAAGAGAAUCAAGACUCUUCUGAAACACUUCCAGAAAUGGAGCUGUUUCAAGGAGUGAUAGAGGAGAACAUCAUGACCUACACUAGCACUGGCUGCCUGGAUGCUGUGUGUCAUCAGUUAUGACUGACCAUCUUAAAUUCUGCAUGAAGGAAAAGAAACUUCUCACUUUGAUUCCACCAUGGAAGGACUUCAGUUGGCUGCCAAGGAUUUUAAAUGUGAUGAAUAACCUGGAAGAAAGUAACCACUGUAGAUUUUUGGUGUGAAUCUUUGGCCAUCUUCCCCCCCCAGCCCCCCAAUAUCAACCUCUCUGUCCCUGUAAUAAAAAUCAAAAUUGAGAUAACUUUGUUUUGUGUGGCAAAAGGUCACUUUUUGAAGCCAUUUGGGAUUUAUACCUUCUCAGUACAUCCUUGAGUGUGGUACAAAGAGAUUGAGAGUAGAGACCAGUAAGCAGAAAGGAGGUGUCUGUUGGCAUGAGGUGUGAGCUUCAGGCUCUGGUAUUUAAUUCACUUGUAUCAGCAUCCAAGAUGUUGCCACACAAACCAGUACAUGAACUGAUAGUGAUGCCUACCUGCAGGGAAAGGUGCCUGUUAUGUGUUUUAUCCUACUUCUGCCUUUCAUCCUGUCAGUCAUAAUUACACCCCAGUCUCUUUACAAUGUUAAGUGACAAAAGUCUUUAAUCAUUCUUAUUCUUUCAUCUAGAGGUGCACAACUUACCUUGUUUUCUUCUGAGACCAGGCUUAAUGCUUCCCUUCAACUAGACUCAUUUGGGACUAUGGAAAUAAGGAGAAAAUUUCACUGUAGACCUGAUUCAAACACACUGGAGGAAAUAUGCGUAUGAUUUGUGG
This 990-nucleotide long non-coding RNA is filed under the name Bubo bubo (Eurasian eagle-owl). RNAcentral's name for it is "lncRNA (ENSBOBG00000002455.1)". The record is from RNAcentral. Lineage: Eukaryota; Metazoa; Chordata; Aves; Strigiformes; Strigidae.